Molecule: non-coding RNA, 985 nt
Organism: Podarcis lilfordi (Lilford's wall lizard)
Lineage: Eukaryota; Metazoa; Chordata; Lepidosauria; Squamata; Lacertidae
Source: the annotation of a GenBank genome assembly
AACUAUUAAACGGCUGAUGAAAACCAUUUCUAUUCCCCAGCUAAGAAUACAACCAGAAUGGUUAGCUGGUGUAUGUGUUUGACGUUUUAAAUGUCUUUUAUUGUAGAGUUUUAUUGCUGCAAACCACUACUUUUGACACUUUUUUUAAACGACAAAGCAGUAUAUAUUUCUAAUAAAUAAAGUGAGUGAGGGUGGGCAACUGUGCCUUGGGCUGCAGGGGGUGGACAGACUUUUGCCUUGCCCAGUCAGGACCUCCCAAGAUGGGAAGAGCUUGCCGGCAUCCCCAGGAGGGGAGACCCUCUGGAAACAGGCCUUCACUGCCCGCUUUGCUCCAGGCACCUAUGGGCCAACCAGGGAGAGAUCUUGGUAAGGUGGGGGGGGGACAUGAGGGCUGUGGGGCAACCCAGCUGUGAGUCUGCUGCCUGGGGGCCAGAGCCAAACCCAAGAUGGAAUUGUGCCCCUUUCGGCUUUCCGCUUCAGGGAACAUGUGACACAGCCCUUCCAGAAAAGGAAGUAUAAAAUGCGUGUUGGGUGGGAGAGAUUCUGGCGGUGGCUUUGAUAUUUGGGGAGGGAUUCCCCCCCCCAAAAAAGUGGCACGACAUACUUCUCAGUAGCCUUGGUGGGUCCAGCAUCCAUUGUGUGUGUCUCAUCACCUGAAGAAGCCAGGGAGGGGAGACAGGCUAGUAGGGCAGUGUGGGAGAGUGGGUACAGCUCCACAUGAGCUGAGGCAGGCAAGGGAUGCUCAGAGCCACAAAGAAGAGCAUUCAGUGCAGUUGGGCAUUUCAGUAUCACCUGGCCUCCCUCUUAGUCACUUUUGAGAAGGUACUCGCCACUCCCCGCAGACCCAAACACGAAUGAGGAUGGCACGGCCACGGUCAAGCCAACCCAACAGCCAGCCGAGACGUCAACUCUUGCUUUUACCUUAUUUUCCAGAUGAGCUGAGGCACACAGAGCUUUCCUGCCCCCCCCCACCGCUCCUAUCGCC